RNAcentral lists this ribosomal RNA (119 nucleotides) under Pteropus alecto (black flying fox). The record is from RNAcentral. Lineage: Eukaryota; Metazoa; Chordata; Mammalia; Chiroptera; Pteropodidae.
GUCUACGGCCAUGCCACCCUGAACAUGCAUGAUCCCGUCUGAUCUCGGAAGCUAAGCAGGGUCGAGCCUGGUUAGUACUUAGUUGGGAGACCACCUAGGAAGACCAGGUGCUGUAGGUG